Molecule: ribosomal RNA, 460 nt
Filed under: uncultured bacterium
Lineage: Bacteria
Description: partial 16S ribosomal RNA
Rfam family: Bacterial small subunit ribosomal RNA
Source: RNAcentral
CCUACGGGUGGCAGCAGUGAGGAAUAUUGGUCAAUGGACGAGAGUCUGAACCAGCCAAGUAGCGUGAAGGAUGACUGCCCUAUGGGUUGUAAACUUCUUUUAUAUGGGAAUAAAAUGUUCCACGUGUGGGAUUUUGUAUGUACCAUAUGAAUAAGGAUCGGCUAACUCCGUGCCAACAGCCGCGGUAAUACGGAGGAUCCGAGCGUUAUCCGGAUUUAUUGGGGUGAAAGGGAGCGUAGGUGGUGUGUUAAGUCAGUUGUGAAAGUUUGCGGCUCAACCGUAAAAUUGCAGUUGAAACUGGCAGUCUUGAGUACAGUAGAGGUGGGCGGAAUUCGUGGUGUAGCGGUGAAAUGCUUAGAUAUCACGAAGAACUCCGAUUGCGAAGGCAGUUCACUGGACUGCAACUGACACUGAGGCUCGAAAGUGUGGGUAUCAAACAGGAUUAGAUACCCGGGUAGUC